RNAcentral lists this long non-coding RNA (856 nucleotides) under Cairina moschata (Muscovy duck). RNAcentral's name for it is "domestica (muscovy Duck (domestic type)) lncRNA (ENSCMMG00000011457.1)". The record is from RNAcentral. Lineage: Eukaryota; Metazoa; Chordata; Aves; Anseriformes; Anatidae.
AAGGAAGUGAUUCAUUAGAAAACUCAGGGGCCCUUCUGUAGCUUCUGUUGCAGUGUAGAAUGUUUGCGUGUUUUCCUUUCAAGAAGCUGACAUCCCAUUGUAUCUUUUUCCCUCCCCUAGAUUUUUCUACCUCCUCUGCUAGAGAUGGUGCAGGUGCCAGGGAGACACUUGGUUUUGUGCUGCUGUGUCUGAUAGAUCAGAUCCCAGUUCUCAAGAUGGAGAUGGAGUGUCUACCUCUGUGCAGCAUCCUUUGUGCUGGCUUGAAGUGGAAUAGCCUCCAUCUUCCAGCAUUUGGUGCCAAGAUACCCUACUUCCAUAUAGAUGGAGGAGAAAUCUUGUCCUGUGAAGGACCUGCCCCAUGUGCUUUUGAAGCUAUUCAAAUGGUCCAUUCUUGGUUGCCUUCAGCAUCAAAUUUUCGGGUAUGUUGAAUUUAGUUAUCUAUGUGGAAAGUAAUCUGAUUAGUUUGAGAAUGAAAGAUAUUAGAAGAAAGCUUCCUGUUGACUUCAGUUAGCUUUAGGUCAUAAGCACCCAGCUUUGUAGUAUUGAUCAAGAAGAGCAAGUAUUUCCUCUUUAAUCACUGAAUCAAUGAAUUAAGAGCUUUGAUUAUUGCAAGAUUUGCAUGAGAGCUUUAAAUACUGAUUUUUAAAGGUGCAUUAUUCUGUUCAUGCACUUAGAUUUCAAUGAAUUGAAUUAAGUAAUUGUUAAUUUUAGAGGUUGGCAUGCAAAAAUAUUUUUUAUUAUAAAAUAAACUAUCUUGUAAUAAGCAAUGUUUCAUGCUUUACUUUUCCAUUCAACAGAUGUAGCAUUUGUAGAAGCAAUAACUGAUGGAAUACAUGUCACAAAAAGCAUGUGGUAG